GGCGGGUCUCCUCGCAUUGCGGGUUGGUUCAUCGGGUCAGGUCCGGAAGGAAGCAGCCCACGCCUUCCCCCGUAAGUGCCGGGGGUCAGGCUCGCCACA
Molecule: signal recognition particle RNA, 99 nt
Filed under: Rhodocyclaceae bacterium
Lineage: Bacteria; Pseudomonadati; Pseudomonadota; Betaproteobacteria; Rhodocyclales; Rhodocyclaceae
Description: signal recognition particle sRNA small type
Rfam family: Bacterial small signal recognition particle RNA
About the family: The signal recognition particle (SRP) is a universally conserved ribonucleoprotein involved in the co-translational targeting of proteins to membranes. Archaeal SRP consists of a 7S RNA and homologues of the eukaryotic SRP19 and SRP54 proteins.
Source: RNAcentral